Molecule: ribosomal RNA, 498 nt
Filed under: uncultured bacterium
Lineage: Bacteria
Description: partial 16S ribosomal RNA
Rfam family: Bacterial small subunit ribosomal RNA
Source: RNAcentral
GAUGAACGCUGGCGGCAUGCUUUACACAUGCAAGUCGAACGGCAGCACGGGGCAACCUGGUGGCGAGUGGCGAACGGGUGAGUAAUAUAUCGGAACGUACCCAAGAGUGGGGGAUAACGUAGCGAAAGUUACGCUAAUACCGCAUACGAUCUAAGGAUGAAAGCAGGGGAUCUUCGGACCUUGUGCUCCUGGAGCGGCCGAUAUCUGAUUAGCUAGUUGGUGAGGUAAAGGCUCACCAAGGCGACGAUCAGUAGCUGGUCUGAGAGGACGACCAGCCACACUGGAACUGAGACACGGUCCAGACUCCUACGGGAGGCAGCAGUGGGGAAUUUUGGACAAUGGGCGAAAGCCUGAUCCAGCAAUGCCGCGUGAGUGAAGAAGGCCUUCGGGUUGUAAAGCUCUUUUGUCAGGGAAGAAACGGUUGUGGCUAAUAUCCAUGGCUAGUGACGGUACCUGAAGAAUAAGCACCGGCUAACUACGUGCCAGCCGCCGCCGUAA